Long non-coding RNA from Carassius carassius (crucian carp), 599 nucleotides. RefSeq lists it as uncharacterized. NCBI's taxonomy places the organism in Eukaryota, Metazoa, Chordata, Actinopteri, Cypriniformes, Cyprinidae. The transcript has 3 exons. The record is from RefSeq and is a predicted model, not a curated record.
GAAGUAAUUUGAUUUAGACCCAGGUAAAAGUGAAUUCAAUGUUCAUCUUUAUGGGCUCAUUCUGAUCUGCUGCUGGUUUUAUCUUACCUGUAUUUUCUGUAACCGAGUUCCAAGACUCUCCAAAUUUCCUCAAUCAGGGACCAGAUUCUGCUGAACGACUCCUGCAGGAGGUGUCAAAGUGUGUGAAUUAGAGGAAUUAAGUCAGAAAUGAGUGCAGGCAAACUUUCAGACGCUUGGAGGUUUAAUCCUUUAAAAGGUGUCUUGAAGAGGUGAUGGGACUUCCAUCUCACUUUGUCUGCUGUGUCUUCAUGGUCUGGACUCGGCCUCCUACACAUCUAACCUUGGCCUGUAUGAUUUAGUUUGCCCUCCUCUUCAGAUCUCACAAUGGUAAUCCAUCAGUGUUGUUGUGUUUCAAUGAACGGAUACAAAGGUCCCGAGCAGCAUACUGUGAAUAAUUUGCAGAAGCCCAUUCACUACAAAAGUUCCCUUUCUAUAGAACAACCGACUGUUUUCAGAUGACUCCUAUUCUCUGUUUCCAAACAGAGUAUAUUAAGAUAUUAAGUAUACAGUUGCAUUAAAAUGCAAUAAAAACCUUUCUG